UUCCGCCUUGCUGUCCGUGAAACCCGAGCGACUUCCGCUUGCAGUGUCAAAUAUGGCCACGUCCAGACUAGAGACUAAUUUUAUCAGGUUAUUAUCGCGCUGUGAGUCCCUGGCUUCAGAGAGUAGAAAUGAAACAGAAUGGAGACUCGAGAAGUACGUUGGUGCUCUUGAGGAGAUGCUUGUUGCCCUUAAAAAGAGUCCCAGCAAACCAACAGCGGAAAUCCUGACGGACUAUCACCGCAAGGUGGACUUCCUCAAGGGUCUCUUAGAGGCAGACAAACUGCCGUCUCCAGCAGAGAAGUCUUUAGCCAAUCAGUUUCUGGCUCCUGGACGGAUGCCGACGAUGUCCAGCGAGAGAACGCCGGCCAGUAAGACGGUGCACAUUCAGAGCAAAGCGCGAUGUGCUGGAGAAAUGAGGAAGGAGCUGAUGAGCACUGGUUUGUCAUAUUCCGGUUCACUGGAGACAGAUCUCAGACACAGAAAGAGUAUUCCUGUAGAUGAGCAGCAGUCUGCGGCAGAGCUGGACGCUAUUCUAAAGCAUCAUAACAACCUGCAGGAGAAACUGGCCGAUGACAUGCUGAACCUCGCUCGCAACCUCAAGAACAACUCACUCGCGGCCCAGAACAUCAUCAAGCAGGACAACCAGACUCUCACUCAGUCUGUGCGUCAGGCCGACAUGAACUUCGAUAAGCUGAAGACCGAGUCAGAGCGUCUGGAACAACAUGCCAAGAAAUCUGUCAACUGGUUCCUGUGGCUGAUGCUCAUCGUUGUCUCCUUCACCUUUAUCAGCAUGAUCCUCUUCAUCAGACUGUUCCCGCGACUCAGAUGAUCCUAAUCAUCAUCAGAUUUAUAUAUAACAACAGGUUUACAAAGACACUAGCAAGUAGUAAUAAAGAUGAUUAUUCAGUCAGUCAAUCCCUCGAACAUUACCUGGAUGCUAUUGUUGAUGUCAUAACAAAUUUGCGUCGAAUGACGUCUUAAACGAAUCCUAUUUUGUUCGAAUGUUCGUACGGUAAGUAGACUUUUGAACCAUAGACUCUUCGUCAGUGGUUUCAGUACGUAACCAAACGUUCCUAAUACUAAUUUUGAGACUGGCAUUUUUGUCUUUUUAAAGAUGCGUCCAAGUUUAUAAAAUAUUGCUUAAUAAACUAUAUUUUGACACUAUAUACGAGCGUUUUGAGACGCUUAAAAUGACCAACAGUUCUAUCCAGCUUUAUCGGAGUUUCUGUUAGUGGCUUUCUCACAUACGAUCGCUAUAAAAAUGGACCGAGCUGUUUUAAGAUCCGGUUGACUUGUCCAGACUCGCCUUGUUGAUCAGGAAAUGUUCUGGCAAACAGCAGGAAGUAUUUUUGCCUGUCGAAAGCACAGAUGGAGACUGUCUUCUCCACCCAGAGAAUAAAUGGUCCAUAUUUAGCUGCCAACGAUCUAUUUGUGCUUUCACUUGGACGGAGAAUUAAGUAUUGCUCCGAUAUGGUUAAUGUGUUUGUUAGAGUGCAGCUCUGUUGAUUUGUAUUUUAUUUCUAUUUUUUUCAUCAGAUGUGUCCGAGAGUUAUCUGUGAACAAAAUAAAGGAAUAUGCAUUAUUUUAAUAAAAUAAUUUGCAAUCUGA
Molecule: RNA transcript, 1608 nt
Organism: Carassius carassius (crucian carp)
Lineage: Eukaryota; Metazoa; Chordata; Actinopteri; Cypriniformes; Cyprinidae
Gene name: vesicle transport protein USE1-like
Exons: 9
Source: RefSeq, a predicted model, not a curated record